RNAcentral lists this long non-coding RNA (703 nucleotides) under Homo sapiens (human). RNAcentral describes it as "long non-coding RNA NONHSAT223073.1". Lineage: Eukaryota; Metazoa; Chordata; Mammalia; Primates; Hominidae. The record is from RNAcentral.
CAAUGUCCAGGGUUUCCGAUGGCACCUGUGUCAAGGUCUUCCAACAACUCCGGGUCUUCCAGCGACUUCAAGUCUUCCAAUAAUCUCAAGGUCUUCCAGAUAAUCCUGAGCUUCCAGAAAAUCCACAUCUUCCAGACAAUCCAUGUCUUCCGGACAAUCCAUGUCUUCCAAGAAGCUCCAAGUCUUCCAGUAAAUCAAGUCUUCCAGCAAAUCCAGUCUUCCAGCAAUUACUGGUCUUCCACCAAAUCCAGAUCUUCCAGGAAAAUCCACAUCUUCCAGCUAAUCCAUGUCUUCCAGAAAAAUCUGUGUCUUCCACCAAAUCCAAGUCUUCCAGUAAAUCUAGUUCUUCCAGAAAAAUCUAGAUCUUCCAGUCAAUCAGUGUCUUCCAGAAAGAAAUCCAGGUCUUCCAGUCAAUCAGUGUCUUCCAGAAAGAAAUCCAGGUCUUCCAGUCAGUCAGUGUCUUCCAGAAAAAUCUACGUCUUCCACCAAAUCCAGGUCUUCCAGUCAAUCCACAUCUUCCGGAAAAAAUCCAGGUCUUCCAGCCAAUAUAUGUCUUCCUGAAGAUCCACGUCUUCCAGAAAAUCCAUGUCUUCCAGAAAAUCCAUGUCUUCCAGUAACCUCCCAGUCUUCCAGAAAAUCCACGUCUUCCCAACAAUCCAAGUCUUCCGGAUAAUUUGGGUCUUCCUGAAAAUCUACGUCUUCC